GAAACUGAGGACAAUACUCCAUAGGUUUAGGAGGCUGGAAUGCAUCUAGACUGAAAGCUCCGGCGCCUAAGGAUGAGUCUGCGGACUAUCAGGUUGUAGUCAGGGUAAAGACCUGACUAGCCUACGACGGAUACGGGUUGUGAGAGCAAUAACCCGGAGACGAUAUCUGAGACACGAUAUCGGGCCCUACGGGGCGCAGCAGGCGCGAAAACUUCACACUGUGCGAAAGCACGAUGAGGGAAUCCCAAGUGCCAGCUCGUAAGAGUUGGCUGUUUCUUUGUUUAAAGAACACACAGAGUAAGGGCUGGGUAAGACGGGUGCCAGCCGCCGCGGUAAUACCUGCAGCUCAAGUGGUGAUCGUUAUUAUUGGGCCUAAAACGUUCGUAGCCGGUUUAGUAAAUGCCUGGGUAAAUCGUGUAGCUUAACUAUACGAAUUCCGGGUAGACUGCUAAACUU
RNAcentral lists this ribosomal RNA (456 nucleotides) under uncultured archaeon. RNAcentral's name for it is "bacterial SSU rRNA". It matches the Rfam family "Archaeal small subunit ribosomal RNA", at positions 136 to 594 of the family's 1478-position model. The record is from RNAcentral.